AGUGAACGCUGGCGGCGUGCUUAACACAUGCAAGUCGAACGAGAACGGAUUAUAGCUUGCUAUAAUUGUCAGCUAAGUGGCGCACGGGUGAGUAAUGUAUAGGUAAUAUGCCUCUUGCUAAGGGAUAACAAAUGGAAACGUUUGCUAAUACCUUAUACUCCUUAUUAACAGAAGUUAAUAAGGGAAAGAUUUAUUGGUAAGAGAUUAGCCUGUAUUGUAUCAGUUAGUUGGUGGGGUAAUGGCUUACCAAGACUAUGACACAUAACUGGUUUGAGAGGAUGAUCAGUCACACUGGAACUGAGACACGGUCCAGACUCCUACGGGAGGCAGCGGUGGGGAAUAUUGCACAAUGGACGAAAGUCUGAUGCAGCAACGCCGCGUGGAGGAUGACACAUUUCGGUGCGUAAACUCCUUUUAUAUGAGAAGAUAAUGACGGUAUUAUAUGAAUAAGCACCGGCUAACUCCGUGCCAGCCGCCGCAGUAA
This 484-nucleotide ribosomal RNA is filed under the name uncultured bacterium. RNAcentral's name for it is "partial 16S ribosomal RNA". It matches the Rfam family "Bacterial small subunit ribosomal RNA", at positions 29 to 523 of the family's 1533-position model. The record is from RNAcentral.